UCUUUUGCUGAGAGACUAUAC
This 21-nucleotide small nuclear RNA is filed under the name Arabidopsis thaliana (thale cress). RNAcentral describes it as "snRNA_07324". Lineage: Eukaryota; Viridiplantae; Streptophyta; Magnoliopsida; Brassicales; Brassicaceae. The record is from RNAcentral.